GCCGGGUGUGAUGGCACACGCCUGUAAUCCCAGCUACUUGGGAGGCUGAGGCGGGAGAAUCGCUUGAACUCGGGAGGCGGAGGCUGCAGUGAGCCGAGAUCACGCCACUGCACUCCAGCCUGGAUUACAGAGUGAGACCCUGUCUCAA
This 148-nucleotide non-coding RNA is filed under the name Chlorocebus sabaeus (green monkey). The record is from Rfam by way of RNAcentral. Lineage: Eukaryota; Metazoa; Chordata; Mammalia; Primates; Cercopithecidae.